GAGUGGUGGUGGCGGUGGUGGCGGCGGGUGUUAUUGUUUCCCUCCAGUUCAGGGAGGGGACUUCAAAUUGUUUAAGAAGCAGGAAGAUUCACUGGCAGUAAAGCUCUGUAGCAUGUGCGUGACACCAUUUCCCCUUUUCACUGAGUUCUUCCGAGCAGCUCUAGGGCUCUGAACGUGAAUGUGGUCAGCAAACAACUCGAAGAAGGAGUCUUAAUACAGUCCCAGCCCUCCUGCGAGGAUCGCCUGGCCGGGGACUCGGGCUGAGCUGGAGGAUGAAGGGUUAAAAGGCCUAUCUCGAUGGAAACUACAAAAUUAAAGUAAAAUAUUCACCGUCUGCUUUUAGGGGGAUUUUUAUAGACUUAAAGAUAAAUAAAUGAAUGACUAAAAAUACAGUCAAUCCCACCUUGCUUUUUACUUCAUCCUCUUUCUUUCUUUCUUUCUUUCCCA
This 447-nucleotide long non-coding RNA is filed under the name Heterocephalus glaber (naked mole-rat). Its description in RNAcentral is "lncRNA (ENSHGLG00100048678.1)". Lineage: Eukaryota; Metazoa; Chordata; Mammalia; Rodentia; Bathyergidae. The record is from RNAcentral.